UCUCCGUAGGUGAACCUGCGGAGGGAUCAUUACAGAGUUCAUGCCCUACCGGGUAGAUCUCCCACCCUAUGUUAUUAUUACUUUGUUGCUUUGGCGGGCCGUUAGGCUCCGGCCCGACUACCGGCCCCGGCUGGUAAGCGCCCGCCAGAGGACCCAAAACCCUGAAUAUUAGUGUCGUCUGAGUACUAUAUAAUAGUUUAAACUUUCAACAACGGAUCUCUUGGUUCUG
Molecule: unclassified non-coding RNA, 229 nt
Filed under: plant metagenome
Description: partial contains small subunit ribosomal RNA, internal transcribed spacer 1, and 5.8S ribosomal RNA
Source: RNAcentral